UACGAAGGGGGCUAGCGUUGCUCGGAAUCACUGGGCGUAAAGGGUGCGUAGGCGGGUCUUUAAGUCAGGGUGAAAUCCUGGAGCUCAACUCCAGAACUGCCUUUGAUACUGAGGAUCUUGAGUUCGGGAGAGGUGAGUGGAACUGCGAGUGUAGAGGUGAAAUUCGUAGAUAUUCGCAAGAACACCAGUGGCGAAGGCGGCUCACUGGCCCGAUACUGACGCUGAGGCACGAAAGCGUGGGGAGCAAACAGG
Molecule: ribosomal RNA, 252 nt
Filed under: uncultured bacterium
Lineage: Bacteria
Description: partial 16S ribosomal RNA
Rfam family: Bacterial small subunit ribosomal RNA
Source: RNAcentral